GGGAUGGAAGCUCAACGGUAGAGCGGCUGAAGCAUGCGAUAACACGCCAGACGGUAGCCGGUUCGACUCCGGCCCAUCCCU
Molecule: transfer RNA, 81 nt
Filed under: Ruficoccus amylovorans
Lineage: Bacteria; Pseudomonadati; Verrucomicrobiota; Opitutia; Puniceicoccales; Cerasicoccaceae
Description: tRNA-OTHER
Rfam family: tRNA
About the family: Transfer RNA (tRNA) molecules are approximately 80 nucleotides in length. Their secondary structure includes four short double-helical elements and three loops (D, anti-codon, and T loops).
Source: RNAcentral